AGAGUUUGAUUCUGGCUCAGGACGAACGCUGGCGGCGCGCCUAACACAUGCAAGUCGAACGAGAGAGAAGGAGCUUGCUUCUUCGAUCGAGUGGCGAACGGGUGAGUAACGCGUGAGGAACCUGCCUCAAAGAGGGGGACAACAGUUGGAAACGACUGCUAAUACCGCAUAAGCCCACGGGUCGGCAUCGACCUGAGGGAAAAGGAGUGAUCCGCUUUGAGAUGGCCUCGCGUCCGAUUAGCUAGUUGGUGAGGUAACGGCCCACCAAGGCGACGAUCGGUAGCCGGACUGAGAGGUUGAACGGCCACAUUGGGACUGAGACACGGUCCAAACUCCUACGGGAGGCAGCA
This 350-nucleotide ribosomal RNA is filed under the name uncultured bacterium. RNAcentral's name for it is "bacterial SSU rRNA". It matches the Rfam family "Bacterial small subunit ribosomal RNA", at positions 8 to 353 of the family's 1533-position model. The record is from RNAcentral.